UACAGAGGGUGCGAGCGUUAAUCGGAAUUACUGGGCGUAAAGCGCGUGUAGGCGGCUCGAUAAGUCUGCUGUGAAAGUCCAGGGCUCAACCCUGGGAUGCCGGUGGAUACUGUCGAGCUCGAGUCCGGAAGAGGCGAGUGGAAUUCCUGGUGUAGCGGUGAAAUGCGCAGAUAUCAGGAGGAACACCAAUGGCGAAGGCAGCUCGCUGGGACGUGACUGACGCUGAGACGCGAAAGCGUGGGGAGCAAACAGG
This 253-nucleotide ribosomal RNA is filed under the name uncultured bacterium. Its description in RNAcentral is "partial 16S ribosomal RNA". It matches the Rfam family "Bacterial small subunit ribosomal RNA", at positions 524 to 776 of the family's 1533-position model. The record is from RNAcentral.